ACCUGAGGGUAAUACUCUAUAGGGAAUGCAUUCUGGAAGGAAGCAUUCUUUAAACGUAAGGCGAUAUGAUGAGACUGCGGCGGAUUAGGUAGUUGGUAAGGUAACGGCUUACCAAGCCUGUGAUCCGUACGGGCCUUGGAAGAGGUAACCCGGAGAGGGACACUGAGAUACUGGUCCCAGCCCUACGGGGUGCAGCAGGCGCGAAAACUUCACAAUGCACGAAAGUGUGAUGGGGGAACUCAAAGUGCCUAUGUUUUACAUAGGCUUUUACCGACUCAAAAUUAGUCGGAGAAUAAGUGGUGGGCAAGACUGGUGCCAGCCGCCGCGGUAACACCAGCAUCACAAGUGGGAGCCGAUAUUAUUGGGCCUAAAGCGUCCGUAGCAGGUCUAUUAAAUUGCUUGUGAAAUCGGAUAGCUCAACUAUUCGGAUUGCAGGUAAGACUGAUAGACUAGAGACCGGGGGACGUAUGAGGUAUUCAAAGGGGAGCGGUAAAAUGCGAGAAUCCUUUGAAGACCACCUGUUGCGAAGGCGUCAUACAACAACGGGUCUGACUGUGAGGGUCGAAAGCUAGGGGAGCGAACUGGAUUAGAUACCCAAGUAGUCCUAGCCAUAAACGCUGCGAGUUAGGUGUCGCAUAAUCUACGGGAUUAUGCGGUAUCGGAGCGAA
This 668-nucleotide ribosomal RNA is filed under the name uncultured euryarchaeote. RNAcentral's name for it is "bacterial SSU rRNA". It matches the Rfam family "Archaeal small subunit ribosomal RNA", at positions 138 to 810 of the family's 1478-position model. The record is from RNAcentral. Lineage: Archaea; Methanobacteriati; Methanobacteriota.